GCGUGGGUAAUCUACCUCCGAAUUUGGGAUAACACUUCGAAAGGGGUGCUAAUACCGGAUAAUAUCCAUUUUGCUUGGGUGGAAUGGAUCAAAGAUAGCCGCUUCGUGAAAGCUGUUGUUUGGAGAUGAGCCCGCGUCCCAUUAGCUAGUUGGUGGGGUAAUAGCCUACCAAGGCGACGAUGGGUAGCUGGUCUGAGAGGAUGGCCAGCCACACUGGAACUGGAACACGGUCCAGACUCCUACGGGAGGCAGCAGUGAGGAAUUUUGCGCAAUGGGGGCAACCCUGACGCAGCAACGCCGCGUGAGUGAUGAAGGCCUUCGGGUCGUAAAGCUCUGUCAAGUGGGAAGAACCUAUCUUAUGUGAACAGCGUAAGGUAUUGUCGGUACCACUGAAGGAAGCACCGGCUAACUCCGUGCCAGCAGCCGCGGUAAUACGGAGGGUGCAAGCGUUAUUCGGAUUUACUGGGCGUAAAGGGCGCGUAGGCGGUUGAUCAAGUCAGAUGUGAAAGCCCGGGGCU
RNAcentral lists this ribosomal RNA (518 nucleotides) under uncultured delta proteobacterium. RNAcentral describes it as "bacterial SSU rRNA". It matches the Rfam family "Bacterial small subunit ribosomal RNA", at positions 115 to 609 of the family's 1533-position model. Lineage: Bacteria; Deltaproteobacteria. The record is from RNAcentral.